RNAcentral lists this ribosomal RNA (496 nucleotides) under uncultured Eubacteriales bacterium. RNAcentral describes it as "bacterial SSU rRNA". It matches the Rfam family "Bacterial small subunit ribosomal RNA", at positions 28 to 523 of the family's 1533-position model. Lineage: Bacteria; Bacillati; Bacillota; Clostridia; Eubacteriales. The record is from RNAcentral.
GACGAACGCUGGCGGCGUGCUUAACACAUGCAAGUCGAACGAUGAAAGAGAAUCCGAUCUCUUCGGAGUGAAGAAUCUCUGGAUUAGUGGCGGACGGGUGAGUAACGCGUGAGCAAUCUGCCUUACACAAAGGGAUAGCCUCGGGAAACCGGGAUUAAUACCAUAUGAUAUCUAUUAACCGCAUGGUUUAUAGAUUAAAGAAUUUCGGUGUAAGAUGAGCUCGCGUCCCAUUAAUUAGUUGGUGAGGGUAACGGCCCACCAAGAUAGCGAUGGGUAGCCGAUCUAAGGGGAUGACCGGCCACAUUGGAACUGAGAAACGGUCCAAACUCCUACGGGAGGCAGCAGUGGGGAAUAUUGCACAAUGGGGGAAACCCUGAUGCAGCGACGCCGCGUGAGCGAUGAAGGCUUUCGAGUCGUAAAGCUCUGUCCUAUGGGAAGAUAAUGACGGUACCAUAGAAGAAAGCCCCGGCUAAUUACGUGCCAGCCGCCGCGGUAA